This 427-nucleotide ribosomal RNA is filed under the name uncultured bacterium. Its description in RNAcentral is "partial 16S ribosomal RNA". It matches the Rfam family "Bacterial small subunit ribosomal RNA", at positions 355 to 774 of the family's 1533-position model. The record is from RNAcentral.
UGGGGAAUAUUGCACAAUGGGCGCAAGCCUGAUGCAGCCAUGCCGCGUGUGUGAAGAAGGCCUUCGGGUUGUAAAGCACUUUCAGCGAGGAGGAAGGGUAGUGUGUUAAUAGCACAUUGCAUUGACGUUACUCGCAGAAGAAGCACCGGCUAACUCCGUGCCAGCAGCCGCGGUAAUACGGAGGGUGCAAGCGUUAAUCGGAAUUACUGGGCGUAAAGCGCACGCAGGCGGUUUGUUAAGUCAGGUGUGAAAUCCCCGCGCUUAACGUGGGAACUGCAUUUGAAACUGGCAAGCUAGAGUCUUGUAGAGGGGGGUAGAAUUCCAGGUGUAGCGGUGAAAUGCGUAGAGAUCUGGAGGAAUACCGGUGGCGAAGGCGGCCCCCUGGACAAAGACUGACGCUCAGGUGCGAAAGCGUGGGGAGCAAACA